Molecule: ribosomal RNA, 2780 nt
Filed under: Escherichia coli
Lineage: Bacteria; Pseudomonadati; Pseudomonadota; Gammaproteobacteria; Enterobacterales; Enterobacteriaceae
Description: partial 23S ribosomal RNA
Rfam family: Bacterial large subunit ribosomal RNA
Source: RNAcentral
GGUUAAGCGACUAAGCGUACACGGUGGAUGCCCUGGCAGUCAGAGGCGAUGAAGGACGUGCUAAUCUGCGAUAAGCGUCGGUGAGGUGAUAUGAACCGUUAUAACCGGCGAUUUCCGAAUGGGGAAACCCAGUGUGUUUCGACACACUAUCAUUAACUGAAUCCAUAGGUUAAUGAGGCGAACCGGGGGAACUGAAACAUCUAAGUACCCCGAGGAAAAGAAAUCAACCGAGAUUCCCCCAGUAGCGGCGAGCGAACGGGGAGGAGCCCAGAGCCUGAAUCAGUGUGUGUGUUAGUGGAAGCGUCUGGAAAGGCGCGCGAUACAGGGUGACAGCCCCGUACACAAAAAUGCACAUGCUGUGAGCUCGAUGAGUAGGGCGGGACACGUGGUAUCCUGUCUGAAUAUGGGGGGACCAUCCUCCAAGGCUAAAUACUCCUGACUGACCGAUAGUGAACCAGUACCGUGAGGGAAAGGCGAAAAGAACCCCGGCGAGGGGAGUGAAAAAGAACCUGAAACCGUGUACGUACAAGCAGUGGGAGCCUCUUAAUGGGGUGACUGCGUACCUUUUGUAUAAUGGGUCAGCGACUUAUAUUCUGUAGCAAGGUUAACCGAAUAGGGGAGCCGAAGGGAAACCGAGUCUUAACUGGGCGUUAAGUUGCAGGGUAUAGACCCGAAACCCGGUGAUCUAGCCAUGGGCAGGUUGAAGGUUGGGUAACACUAACUGGAGGACCGAACCGACUAAUGUUGAAAAAUUAGCGGAUGACUUGUGGCUGGGGGUGAAAGGCCAAUCAAACCGGGAGAUAGCUGGUUCUCCCCGAAAGCUAUUUAGGUAGCGCCUCGUGAAUUCAUCUCCGGGGGUAGAGCACUGUUUCGGCAAGGGGGUCAUCCCGACUUACCAACCCGAUGCAAACUGCGAAUACCGGAGAAUGUUAUCACGGGAGACACACGGCGGGUGCUAACGUCCGUCGUGAAGAGGGAAACAACCCAGACCGCCAGCUAAGGUCCCAAAGUCAUGGUUAAGUGGGAAACGAUGUGGGAAGGCCCAGACAGCCAGGAUGUUGGCUUAGAAGCAGCCAUCAUUUAAAGAAAGCGUAAUAGCUCACUGGUCGAGUCGGCCUGCGCGGAAGAUGUAACGGGGCUAAACCAUGCACCGAAGCUGCGGCAGCGACACUAUGUGUUGUUGGGUAGGGGAGCGUUCUGUAAGCCUGUGAAGGUGUGCUGUGAGGCAUGCUGGAGGUAUCAGAAGUGCGAAUGCUGACAUAAGUAACGAUAAAGCGGGUGAAAAGCCCGCUCGCCGGAAGACCAAGGGUUCCUGUCCAACGUUAAUCGGGGCAGGGUGAGUCGACCCCUAAGGCGAGGCCGAAAGGCGUAGUCGAUGGGAAACAGGUUAAUAUUCCUGUACUUGGUGUUACUGCGAAGGGGGGACGGAGAAGGCUAUGUUGGCCGGGCGACGGUUGUCCCGGUUUAAGCGUGUAGGCUGGUUUUCCAGGCAAAUCCGGAAAACCAAGGCUGAGGCGUGAUGACGAGGCACUACGGUGCUGAAGCGACAAAUGCCCUGCUUCCAGGAAAAGCCUCUAAGCAUCAGGUAACAUCAAAUCGUACCCCAAACCGACACAGGUGGUCAGGUAGAGAAUACCAAGGCGCUUGAGAGAACUCGGGUGAAGGAACUAGGCAAAAUGGUGCCGUAACUUCGGGAGAAGGCACGCUGAUAUGUAGGUGAAGCGACUUGCUCGUGGAGCUGAAAUCAGUCGAAGAUACCAGCUGGCUGCAACUGUUUAUUAAAAACACAGCACUGUGCAAACACGAAAGUGGACGUAUACGGUGUGACGCCUGCCCGGUGCCGGAAGGUUAAUUGAUGGGGUUAGCGGUAACGCGAAGCUCUUGAUCGAAGCCCCGGUAAACGGCGGCCGUAACUAUAACGGUCCUAAGGUAGCGAAAUUCCUUGUCGGGUAAGUUCCGACCUGCACGAAUGGCGUAAUGAUGGCCAGGCUGUCUCCACCCGAGACUCAGUGAAAUUGAACUCGCUGUGAAGAUGCAGUGUACCCGCGGCAAGACGGAAAGACCCCGUGAACCUUUACUAUAGCUUGACACUGAACAUUGAGCCUUGAUGUGUAGGAUAGGUGGGAGGCUUUGAAGUGUGGACGCCAGUCUGCAUGGAGCCGACCUUGAAAUACCACCCUUUAAUGUUUGAUGUUCUAACGUUGGCCCGUAAUCCGGGUUGCGGACAGUGUCUGGUGGGUAGUUUGACUGGGGCGGUCUCCUCCUAAAGAGUAACGGAGGAGCACGAAGGUUGGCUAAUCCUGGUCGGACAUCAGGAGGUUAGUGCAAUGGCAUAAGCCAGCUUGACUGCGAGCGUGACGGCGCGAGCAGGUGCGAAAGCAGGUCAUAGUGAUCCGGUGGUUCUGAAUGGAAGGGCCAUCGCUCAACGGAUAAAAGGUACUCCGGGGAUAACAGGCUGAUACCGCCCAAGAGUUCAUAUCGACGGCGGUGUUUGGCACCUCGAUGUCGGCUCAUCACAUCCUGGGGCUGAAGUAGGUCCCAAGGGUAUGGCUGUUCGCCAUUUAAAGUGGUACGCGAGCUGGGUUUAGAACGUCGUGAGACAGUUCGGUCCCUAUCUGCCGUGGGCGCUGGAGAACUGAGGGGGGCUGCUCCUAGUACGAGAGGACCGGAGUGGACGCAUCACUGGUGUUCGGGUUGUCAUGCCAAUGGCACUGCCCGGUAGCUAAAUGCGGAAGAGAUAAGUGCUGAAAGCAUCUAAGCACGAAACUUGCCCCGAGAUG